Non-coding RNA from Pelodiscus sinensis (Chinese soft-shelled turtle), 1041 nucleotides. The record is from RefSeq and is a predicted model, not a curated record. NCBI's taxonomy places the organism in Eukaryota, Metazoa, Chordata, Testudines, Trionychidae.
CAGAGAGAGGAGGCGGGGCUGUUCCUCCGCCGCUCCCGACACAAGCGCCGAUGCAGGGUUUAAGCUGCUUCCUAGUGCUCAGGGCUGAGCAGUUUGCUCCAGAGCCGCGUGUCUGUGCUGUAGAUGCAAAUACCCUGCGAUGGCUCUUCCUUGUGCCCUGUCAGUGCAGCACCGAGCUUCUCCAGCGCUGCUCUGGAGCGGGGGUCUAGUGCUGGAUUCUCUCGUGCUGUUAACUUCACAGACUGAGGCACAGGGACUGUCGAGCCAGUUGUAACAGGCGCUGCUGAACGUUAGAAGCAGUGACUGUUGACUGGGCAAGUUUCUUGCGGAUAACUUGAGCCUUAAAGCUCAUUUUGAAAUCAGCAUCUUAAUGUCCAUAGAAGCGUAAGGGACCUGGACAGUCCCCCGGCUUAUCUAGACCUAUAUUCCUAUAGAAUUGGUCAAAUCAAAGGUGAGGAAACAACACAAAAAGCAGCUGGAGUUGCCCGCAGUUUGGUGGUGGUGAGAAUAAAUUGACCAAAUAUUCUUUGUCUAAUACUAUAAUGUUGUCAUGUGAUAAUUGGUAUUUCCUCUUUUUAGGGCAGAAUGGUGUCUUGAAGUAUAUAUGCAGAGUCUUGACUUCAGUAUUUCAGAGGAGUGAGAUGUCGAUAUGAGUGGAAAGCAGCUUCCUUGCUUCCUCCCCCCCCAACCAAAAUAUCAUGGAAGUGGAAUGACUUUCCUGCAGUACGGAAAGUACCGCUCUAGAAAAUCUUUUUGGGUGUCCAUAUUACAAGCCUGGUGGUCUGCAAUAGAAGAGCAUCAUGAAACAGCCAAAUGAGUCUGAGAAUUAGCCUCUCUUUUGUGAGCACUACCAAAUGUGUAAAGAAUGAGCAGACACUUAAGUAUGAGAUGGAUACUGUUUAGUGCAUAAAUGUUAAAAUUUUGAUAUUCUACUCCUUGUAUUUCAAAUAACUUGCAUACUAGAAACCUACUGAUCAUAAUAGAAGAUACCCUUUAUAUACUAAAGUAGUGCAAAUAAAGCUUCAGUGUAACUAGAACAUA